AGACAUUCAAAACUGGACAAUUUAUUGAACCAGAAAUCAAAACUAUAAAGCUACAUUAAUUAGGAUGGUGUAAUAUUGGUACAAGAAGACAAACAGGCCAAAGGAAAAGUCAAAAGAGCCCAGAAACAGACCCCCCCCCCGCCACCCCACAUAGACAUUUUAUGACAAAAGCAUAGCACCGGGAAAUGCAAAUGUUUUCAAUAAAUGGUGCGGAUUGGUCCACUAAAUGUGUAAAGUAAAACAGUGAAACUUUUGGAAUAACACAGAAUAUCUUCAUGACCUUGAUAAUAAUUUCCUCAAUAGGGCAUGGUAGCAACUAUGCCUGAAGGAAAAAAAGACUGAUAAAUUGGACUACCUUAACAUUAAAAACUUGUUUUCAGCUGAAGAUCUCAAGAGUGAAAAGCCAGAGUGGGAGAAGAUAUAGGCAAUGCUUAUAACCCAAAAGGUUCCAUAACAGGAAUAUAUCUUUUAAAAAUUCCUAUAAAUCAAUAACAACAAGGGAAAAUAAUGGCCAAAAGAUUUAAAUUGUUAUUUCACAAUACGUAUAUUAGGAAAUCUUUAGGACACAGGUGUGGAUAAAAGAAUGUUGCCCCCACCAAGCCAUCAGCCACUGCAGCCACCCCUGAAGGUGCACCCUGAGGGGAAUUCAGGACAGAGAAAAACAGGACACUGGUACUAGAUAAUUAAGAUCCAUAUCUAGGGAAUAAUUUCCGUGAGACUCCUCCCCUUCGUAGAAAAACACUAAAAUCAUUACCUGGUAAUGUCUGUUUUUUUGUGUGAUUAUGGUAAUCUUUUGAUGUUCUACUACAUGUUUUUGUUGUUGUUGCUGUUGUUGUUUUGUUUGUUUCUGUUUUGUUGUUGUUGUUGUUUUUCCCCAGCAAAAACUCCUAUGUAUCGUGAUUCCUCCCUUACCUCUUUGGAAUCGUUCCUUAGGACUGAGAGUUGUCUCCAGGGCCAUAAUCCUCAGUAAGUUCCUCAAAUAAAAUAUAACUUGCAACUUUUAGUUUGUGCAUUUUUCUUCAGUUGAUUCAGGAAGUACACAUUAAAAUGAUACCAUCACACAUCUACCAGAAUGGCUGACAAAAUCAAAUCUAGACAAGGAUAUGGGACAAUUGGAAUUCAUAAACUGCUGGUGGGAGUUUAAAUCAGUAGGACUGCUUUGGAAAACUGUUUGGCAGUACCUGAUAAAGAUAUCUCUAUUCCUAUGACCCAUAUAUUCUAAUGAUCCAGUAAUUUCAUUUAUAAUUCCAUACCAACAGAAAUGCAUUCUUGUGUACAUCAAAAGACAUGUACAUAAAUAUUUCUGGUAGCAUUAUGUAGUAUGCAAAAACUGGACACUCAAAUGACAGAUAGCAGAAUAAACUGUAAGACAUUCUUUUUUUCUUUUUAGGGCUGCACCUGCGGGAUAUGGAAAUUCCCAUGCUGGAGGUUGAAUCGGAACUGCAGCUGGUGGCCCACACCACAGCCACAGAAACACAGGAUCUGAGCCUCAUCUGCAACCUACACCACAGCUCACAGCUGAGUGAGGCCAGGGAUUGAACUUGCAACCUCGGGUUCUUAACCCAAUGAGCCACAAUGGGAACUCCCUGUAAGAUAUAUUCACUCAAUGAAAUACAGUUAACUGAGCAAGGGAAAUGAAUAAAUGACAGCUACAGUUAAUUCCCCUUUCUAUCUCGAUUAUAUCCUAGCCCUUCAUUCAAUCCUUCUCUUGUUCCUUCAUUAUUUAAAUCCUUCUCUUGUUCCUUCAUUAUUUAAAUCCUUCCGUUGUUAUGUACCCACCUUUUUAUUGUGUAGUUGAUUUACAGUGUCAAUUUCUGCUGCACAGCAAAGUAAUUCAGUAAUACAUACACAUUUCCUUUUUAUUAUUUUCCAUUAUGGUUUAUCUCAGGAUUAGUUUCCUGUGCUAUACAGUAAGACCUUAUUGUUUAUCCAUUCUACAUGUAAUAAUUUGCAUCUGCUAACCCCAACUCCCUUGGCACUCACAGUCUGUUCUCUAUGUCUGUGAGUCUGUUUCUUAGAUAGGUCAUCUCUGAUUCCACCCAUAUUGCUGAGAAUGGCGUUAUUUCAUUCUUUUCUUAUGGCUGUAUACACACACACAUAUACAUCUUCUUUAUUCAUUCAGCUGCUGAUAGACACCUCUUUCUAAAAGUGGGUGGGGUAACAAUGAAUUUAUAUGCUCCACAGUUCUUAAAAGAGAUAAGAAACCCAACAGAAAAGGACUGCAAUUCCAGUUAACCAGGAAAAGGCUAAACCUUGUCUCCAGGGAAUUUAUGCUGAGGUCAAUUACUCUCCCAAACUCUUGAAUCAUCUCAGGCAAGGGUUGCUUUGGUUCCUCUUCCCACUCCACCUCUUCACCCUUCUUUCUCACAACCCUUUAAACAUGUAAAACCAGUCUUACCCUGAGGCAGGCUGUGGACGUUGCAAGAAGCCACACUGUACCUAAGGCAGCCCCCACAUUCUCCUUGAUGAGUGGAGUGGAUCCAAAUCUACCAACUAGUCAAAACUGCACACUACAGUGUCUAGCUGUUCCUUUCCUCGCCAACUGUAGAUCGUCAAAACCUGAGUGGAGAAUAACUAAAGUGGAAAGAUGCAAAGCAAAGGAUUUUACAAGACCAAGUGUUAGUGCCCUGGUUCUGCUAUUUGGGACGCCUAUGACCUUGGGCAACAUAGUCUCCAUCAUGCCAAGGAUGUUACACAACUGUGCCUAGUACUCAGUCGUGACAGGGAUAACAGAGCGUGUUAAGGAGAUUGUGCCUGUAUACACAUGACCUGUCACUGUUUUCACAAUGAGGGAAACUUCUCCCAACCAGUGAGUGAGUGAACAGUUUGCUCUUUAAUAUUUUUUUUUCUGAAAAAAGAAAGAAAAAGAAAACGGCACAUGGUGCUAUUCAGAAUUUUAAACAGUAACAGGUAAUCAAUAUGUAAGAAAAUGGAUCCGUUUCCCACAAAACAAAUCUUUGCAAGUGUGCUUGGAAACACAAAAACACAUCUGACUAUGUGUAAAAAAAAAAAAAAAAAAAAAAUAGCCUAACCAUUACCUUCAUCAAAAGAUAAGAAAUUACGUUUGAAUAAUUUUUCUUUUUGCCUUUUAAAUUAGACAAAUUAAAAGUGGAUACAUUUACCUGCCAUUCAACUAGCAAACAGAUGAAAAGAGAUCAGCCACCACUAGGUGCUGCUCAGGAAGCGACUCUUUUAAUCUGCCUUUUCCUUUCAAAGAAAACCUGAAACCUGACAAAUGCUUACUGAGUUCAUUCAUUUUCAGAAAAAAUAUGUUAAAUAA
This 3280-nucleotide long non-coding RNA is filed under the name Sus scrofa (pig). Its description in RNAcentral is "lncRNA (ENSSSCG00060003336.1)". The record is from RNAcentral. Lineage: Eukaryota; Metazoa; Chordata; Mammalia; Artiodactyla; Suidae.